UACAGAGGUCUCAAGCGUUGUUCGGAUUCAUUGGGCGUAAAGGGUGCGUAGGUGGCGCCGUAAGUCAGGUGUGAAAUCUCGGGGCUCAACCCCGAAACUGCACUUGAUACUGCGGUGCUGGAGUACUGGAGAGGAGAUUGGAAUUUACGGUGUAGCAGUGAAAUGCGUAGAUAUCGUAAGGAAGACCAGUGGCGAAGGCGAAUCUCUGGACAGUUACUGACACUGAGGCACGAAGGCCAGGGAGCAAACGGG
Molecule: ribosomal RNA, 252 nt
Filed under: uncultured bacterium
Lineage: Bacteria
Description: partial 16S ribosomal RNA
Rfam family: Bacterial small subunit ribosomal RNA
Source: RNAcentral